CACGUAGGGGGCAAGCGUUGUCCGGAUUUAUUGGGCGUAAAGAGCUCGUAGGCGGCUCAGUAAGUCGGGUGUGAAAACUCCAGGCUCAACCUGGAGACGCCACCUGAUACUGCUGUGGCUAGAGUCCGGUAGGGGAGCAUGGAAUUCCUGGUGUAGCGGUGAAAUGCGCAGAUAACAGGAGGAACACCAGUGGCGAAGGCGGUGCUCUGGGCCGGAACUGACGCUGAGGAGCGAAAGCGUGGGGAGCAAACAGG
Molecule: ribosomal RNA, 254 nt
Filed under: uncultured bacterium
Lineage: Bacteria
Description: partial 16S ribosomal RNA
Rfam family: Bacterial small subunit ribosomal RNA
Source: RNAcentral